UUCUGCUACGAAUGGUUCCAGUUGAUUUACCUCCCCAUUUUCGAGUUUUCUUCUAUCCACUCUUUUUUUUUCUCAAUUUUCCUAUGGUUGAAUGGAAGCCUGGAAGGGAAGGAGUGGGAAUUGAAAUUUUUUAAUUUAAUCAUUAAAUUACAAAUAAUUGACUUCCAAUGAAUUUUUAAUAUGAGGUUAAGUCCACUUUGGUCUAAUAUAUAAUAUUAAAAAAAAAUUUCUUGUUUUCUCUUUUGAACUUCAUUUUUAAAGUUCCAAAAGAAGCUUCGUUUUGAAGAAGGUUAUAUGUUAGACUAAGCUGGGUUUUAUUUAUUUAUUUAUUACUGAGUUUUCGUACUUUUUU
RNAcentral lists this long non-coding RNA (352 nucleotides) under Gossypium barbadense (sea-island cotton). Its description in RNAcentral is "long non-coding RNA (GBAR_LNC021632)". The record is from RNAcentral. Lineage: Eukaryota; Viridiplantae; Streptophyta; Magnoliopsida; Malvales; Malvaceae.